CCAACAAUAACUUCAUAUUCUUUCCCCCAACUUAUUGAACUACCCACAUUCAUCUUUUUCUACCACAAUUUGUAAAACAACCACUAAGUAACGCAUGUUUCACUUCUUCUUUCACCAUUAUAAAACGAGUUUUUUUCAACAUUGUACAACGAACAAAUCUUUAAUAUUCUCCCAUACAAUCGCUCCUCACACAGUUUAUUGGUGUUUGUAUUUUCUCACAUACAAUUGCUCCUCACACAAUUAAUGGUGUUCGUAUUGAUAGCAAUUUACCAAGUGGUGAUGAAGAUGAUAAUGAUUUUGUAUCUAGUGGACAUCAAAAUUUAGAUGAUGAAGAUGAUGCUGAUAAUGAAGAUGAUGGGGAAACGGUUAGAGCGGAGUGGUUAAAUACCCAAGCAGUUGUAGGUGAUUGUGUAACACCCCGAAUUCGGUUAAUUGAAUUUAGUUGUAUUUUAUUUAAAAUAUUAAGUGAUUUAUAUGUUUUUAUUUGGAUAAUUUGUGAAUAUAUGUGUCAAGGUGAGUAUUGGAGAGAGUUAAGGGAAUGGUAUAAAUUAAUUGGAAUAUUUUAAUUAAUUUAAAUUGAGUGGAAUAAUUAAAAAUAAGCUAGUUGUAAAAAAAAGAGAAAUAAUAGAAUUUAGUGGAAAUUUGAGUUAUUAGAAUUAAAAAUUAAAAUAAAAUAAAAAUUAGAGUUAGUAAAGGGAAUAAGGAAAAUAUAGAAAAUAUGGGAGUAAAAUCGAUGCUAGUAAAACUGUGAAAAAUACUGAACAUAAUGUUAGAUGAAACCUAUUAUUUUCUCCGAUAGUUUUCUCCAUAACUUUUGUUAUGUAAAUCCAAAUAUGGUAUGGUAUGAAUCAUUUGAAAACUAACACUAAUGACUAUCCCAUAGUGAUUUAUUAAGAGGUUGUGUUCUAGUUCACCUUCUUAGGCCGGUUAUAUUUUGGUCAUUUGGCACAAUAGGAUUUGUAUUGUGUAUAGGUUUUGCAGGGUUAGGACUAUCAUGAUGGACAUCUAUACUGUUUGGUGCAAAAUCAUCAAUAUCAUAAGGUUUUGCAGGGUUAGGACUAUCAUGAUGGACUUACAGUUGAAGAACCUUGGGUGCAGCCUAACAAAUUCUUCAGUUGAAACACACGAGGACCUUUCUUUUGCUGAAAUAGGUCUUGAAGAUCUUUCCAUAUUUCAGCAGCAUUUGCUGCAUAGAUCACACUUGCAGUGAUUUCCUUGGAGACUGAGUUAAGAAGCCACGACGACAUGGUACUAUGGUUUCUCAUCCAAGAACGAAACUUAGGUGAAUUUUCUUCUGGUUUUGGAGUCGUGCCAUCCACAAAACCAGUCCUGUUCUUGCCAUCAAGAACCAUGAUCAUCGCGUGACGUCAUGAAUUGAAGUUGUCCCCGGAGAGUGGUUGAGAAACCAAGACGACGCCAGGAUGAGCGGAUGAACGAAGGUAAUAGGGAUCAUCGUGAUUAGCCAUGAAACCAGAUGAUCAUGGAAGAAGAGAAAGAAACAUGAUGAACGAAAUCACAAAGCGAAACACGGAAGCGGAAUCAAAAAAUAUCUAUUGAUACCAUAUUGUAGUAUUGAGUAUGCAAGAAGAAAAAUAUUCAAUGUUGAAUCAAAGGGAGGCAUGUAACAAUCAAAAUAUAUGAUAGGUAUAGAUUUUGCCA
Long non-coding RNA from Lathyrus oleraceus (garden pea), 1659 nucleotides. RefSeq lists it as uncharacterized. The record is from RefSeq and is a predicted model, not a curated record. The transcript is spliced from 2 exons. NCBI's taxonomy places the organism in Eukaryota, Viridiplantae, Streptophyta, Magnoliopsida, Fabales, Fabaceae.